This 554-nucleotide long non-coding RNA is filed under the name Equus caballus (horse). Its description in RNAcentral is "lncRNA (ENSECAG00000049370.1)". Lineage: Eukaryota; Metazoa; Chordata; Mammalia; Perissodactyla; Equidae. The record is from RNAcentral.
CCUGUCCGGACUGCAGAAAAAAGCGGAAGCGCGCUCUUUGAAACUCGCCGUCGUAACGUCGAUGGACGCAGGCCACUUCCGGCGUAGCCAUGGCGGCUAACGCGACCACUAACCCGUCGCAGCUGCUGCCUCUAGUGAAAUCACACCAGAAGGAAGAAGGAUUACUAAAUUAGAUCAGAUUUUGCUAAAUGGCAAUAAUAUAACAAUGCUGGUUCCUGGAGGAGAAGGCCCUGAAGUAUGAAUGGAUUUCCUUGACUUAUGCUGGAUUCUGUUUUGUCUUAUAAGGACAACAAAAUAGAAAAUUUUUUUUUAACCUUUUAAUGUUUGGAUUCUAUGAAGCUAAGUUUCCCGUUAAAGGGAAAUGCUUUGAAGAUGCAUUGUAAAUGCCCAUUUUUUAAGUUAAUCAUGAUUGUCUUGGAGAAAGAAGAACAGUUCGUUCUUUGAAGACUAAAAUAAAGGUGUUUUUGGUUAACUGUCAAUUUGUUUAUUAUACUGCAAUAUCCAGUGGAACAAAGCUUGUAGUUAUUUUGUCGCUUGCUUUCCUGUCAUUUUAC